UGUGGAGGUGACCCUCACGGACUUCAAGACCAAGGAGGUCGUGGAGGUGAU
This 51-nucleotide transfer RNA is filed under the name Nephroselmis pyriformis. RNAcentral's name for it is "partial Selenocysteine transfer RNA". Lineage: Eukaryota; Viridiplantae; Chlorophyta; Nephroselmidophyceae; Nephroselmidales; Nephroselmidaceae. The record is from RNAcentral.